AUGCCAGUUAUGUGUGUAUAUGUUAAAAUUGGAAAGACACAGAGAAGAUUAGCAUGACUCCUGCACAAGGAAGACACACAAAUUCAUGAAGUGUUCCAUAUUUCU
Molecule: small nuclear RNA, 105 nt
Organism: Gracilinanus agilis (Agile Gracile Mouse Opossum)
Lineage: Eukaryota; Metazoa; Chordata; Mammalia; Didelphimorphia; Didelphidae
Source: RefSeq, a predicted model, not a curated record